Molecule: ribosomal RNA, 253 nt
Filed under: uncultured bacterium
Lineage: Bacteria
Description: partial 16S ribosomal RNA
Rfam family: Bacterial small subunit ribosomal RNA
Source: RNAcentral
UACGAAGGGGGCUAGCGUUGUUCGGAAUCACUGGGAGUAAAGCGCACGCAGGCGGAUCGAUAAGUCGGGGGUGAAAGCCCGGGGCUCAACCUCGGAAUUGCCUUCGAUACUGUCGGUCUCGAGUCCGGGAGAGGUGAGUGGAAUUCCUAGUGUAGAGGUGAAAUUCGUAGAUAUUAGGAAGAACACCAGUGGCGAAAGCGGUUCACUGGCCCGGUACUGACGCUCAGGUGCGAAAGCGCGGGGAGCGAACAGG